UCCGGCCUGAGCCCGGACCUCGACUCCUGGUUUCGGCACGCUGCAGCUGCAAGCUCUUGGACCCUGGCGCAGCCUUCUGGAGGGGUGAGCGGAGCUGGCUCUGCUGGCUAACAGGGCACGGCGCCCGGGAUGCGCGGGGACAUAGGUUCGAGCCCUGGUCCGGGAAGAUCCCACAUGCCGCGAAGUAACUAAGUUCGUGCACCAAAACUACUGAACUCGUGAGCCACAACUACUGAAGCCCACAUGUCUAGAGCCCAUGCUCCGCAACAUGAGAAGCCACUGCAAUGAGAAGCCCUCACACCGUAACAAAGAGUAGCCCCUGCUCACCACAAC
Molecule: non-coding RNA, 333 nt
Organism: Kogia breviceps (pygmy sperm whale)
Lineage: Eukaryota; Metazoa; Chordata; Mammalia; Artiodactyla; Physeteridae
Source: RefSeq, a predicted model, not a curated record